MicroRNA precursor from Lupinus angustifolius (narrow-leaved blue lupine), 142 nucleotides. It matches the Rfam family "MIR394 microRNA precursor family". The record is from Rfam. Lineage: Eukaryota; Viridiplantae; Streptophyta; Magnoliopsida; Fabales; Fabaceae.
GUUCCAUAGACAUUUUGGCAUUCUGUCCACCUCCAUCAGUACUGUUAUAUAUAUGUAUGUAUAUAUAUAUAUAAAGAUCUAGAAACAUACCUAGAUGGUGACAUAUUUGGAGGUGGCCAGUAUGCCAAACAAGCUCUGUGAA